RNAcentral lists this ribosomal RNA (468 nucleotides) under uncultured bacterium. RNAcentral describes it as "partial 16S ribosomal RNA". It matches the Rfam family "Bacterial small subunit ribosomal RNA", at positions 28 to 507 of the family's 1533-position model. The record is from RNAcentral.
GACGAACGCUGGCGGCGUGCUUAACACAUGCAAGUCGAACGGAAAGGCCCUGCUUUUGUGGGGUGCUCGAGUGGCGAACGGGUGAGUAACACGUGAGUAACCUGCCCUUGACUUUGGGAUAACUUCAGGAAACUGGGGCUAAUACCGGAUAGGAGCUCCUGCUGCAUGGUGGGGGUUGGAAAGUUUCGGCGGUUGGGGAUGGACUCGCGGCUUAUCAGCUUGUUGGUGGGGUAGUGGCUUACCAAGGCUUUGACGGGUAGCCGGCCUGAGAGGGUGACCGGCCACAUGGGGACUGAGAUACGGCCCAGAAGCCUACGGGAGGCAGUAGUGGGGAAUAUUGCACAAUGGGCCGAAGUCUGAGGCAGAAACGCCGCGUGCGGGAUGACGGCCUUCGGGUUGUAAACCGCUUUCGCAGUUGACGAAGCGUGAGUGACGGUAACGGGUAAAGAAGCACCGGCUAACUACGUG